RNAcentral lists this ribosomal RNA (400 nucleotides) under uncultured bacterium. Its description in RNAcentral is "bacterial SSU rRNA". It matches the Rfam family "Bacterial small subunit ribosomal RNA", at positions 355 to 769 of the family's 1533-position model. The record is from RNAcentral.
UAGGGAAUAUUGCGCAAUGGAGGAAACUCUGACGCAGCGACGCCGCGUGAGUGAUGAAGGCCUUCGGGUCGUAAAGCUCUGUCGUACGGGACUAAGAAAGUGAAGGUACCGUGCAAGAAAGGAUCGGCUAACUUCGUGCCAGCAGCCGCGGUAAGACGAGGGAUCCUAGCGUUGUUCGGAAUCAUUGGGCGUAAAGCGGGAGUAGGUGGCUUGCUAAGUCAGGUGUGAAAGCCCAGGGCUCAACCCUGGAAGUGCAUCUGAAACUGGUGAGCUUGAGUGCGAGAGAGGUAAGUAGAAUUCCAGGUGUAGUGGUGAAAUACGUAGAUAUCUGGAGGAAUACCGGCGGCGAAGGCGGCUUACUGGCUCGACACUGACACUCAACCCCGAAAGCGUGGGGAUC